RNAcentral lists this long non-coding RNA (16725 nucleotides) under Spirodela polyrhiza (greater duckweed). RNAcentral's name for it is "long non-coding RNA (SPOL_LNC001562)". Lineage: Eukaryota; Viridiplantae; Streptophyta; Magnoliopsida; Alismatales; Araceae. The record is from RNAcentral.
UUGAAGGCGGGUGGCUGGACAGCGCCGGCGGAGAAUCUCGCCGGCGGCGCCGACAGCUGACGAUUCCAUUCUUCCUCCCGGUGGGGACAAGGGGAAGAUUUCCGGUGAUCCCUUCCUCUCCCCGGAGGGGCAGAGCAGAAGAGUCCUCUUUGCCGGACUGAGGAGAGAAAUGCCUGCUCGUUGCGGCGGGACCGCCUUUCUUUGUCUCCUUGCUCCUCCUCCUCCUCCUCCUCCUCCUCCUCCUCCCGUUUUCCGGGCGUCGGUAGGAGGACGGAGGAGAGAAAGGCGGCGCCGACGAAUCCUAUCCCUGGCGUGCUCCCGUCCUGCCCUCUCCACCGCCUACGGGAAGGGCCAGGAAUUCCGAUUCCGUUACGCCGCCGUUACAAUCGCCGCAGCUCCCCCUCUUAAAGCGGGAAUGUCGCAGGAGAAUGUGGUGGAGGAGGGAGGAAGGAGGAGGAGGAGCACGGCGGCGGUGGUGAGCGAUGGGGAGCUACAGGAUGUGCCUGUGCUUCACCCGCAGGUUCCAGUGGAAGGAGGCGCAGCCGCCGCGGGAUGUGCAGGAAGCCUUCGCGGCCUACGCCGAGGGCCACCCUCACAUGAACGCCGAGCAGCUCCGCCGCUUCCUCGUCGACGUCCAGGGCGACUCCCGCGCCACCGUCGCCGAUGCCGAGUCGCUCAUCGAGCAAUUUCGGCGUCUGAAGCAUCGAUACCUCGCCAAGUUCACCGGUUCCUUCCUCUCCCUCGAAGACUUCCACCGCCUCCUGUUCUCCGAGGAGCUCAACCCUCCCAUUCUUUCCCAGGUGAUCAUGCUCAAUCCUCCCUCCCUCUAUGAUCAUGUCGAUACAUAUUUAUCCGCUUCAGCCUCGUCAGUUGUCCAAGUGAGAAAUGUGGAUGGGGAAAGGGAGAGGUUGACUUUUUGUAAUUGGGGCGGGUGGGCCUGUCUUUCAGACCAUAUUCUCUCUAGCAAUGUGAAAGGCCUACGUUCUUGGAAUUGUCCAUGGAUAGCUUUAAUGUGCCUCUUUAGCUGCUGAUGAGUAUUCGGUUGAUAUGCAUAACCAUUGACUCUUCAGCACCCCAUAAUUUUCUCAAGUUCAAAAGAUUACAUGCCUUUAUUUUUCUAGAACUUCGGUACCUGCGUUUUAUUCUUGUAGUUAUCACAAACAGUUUGUAUGAUGCUACCAAUCCUGACUAAGUAAGCCAAGUGAUAAUCCUGUUCUUUCCCCUUUAUUUCAGUAAUAAUAACUUUAUUUUUUAUUUGGGAAUGGAGUAUGUUUCUUCAUCUUAUUGACCAAAUCCUUUAUUUCCACCAAGGUUACGUUUCUGCAUCAUGGUUGGACCAAAGUUAGAGAGCAUUAUUCUCUAUCUUCUCACUACACAAUAUAUUUAUUAUUCUCCAUUCAAUAAUAUUGAUCAUAACAGGAGAACAUGGCCCUUUCGACCUCUAUUAAGGUUUGCAACGCCUGUUUCUCUGACACUGCCGGCUCUUCCUAACGUCUUAAAAUGAAAACCUGACUCAAGAUAAUGGCGCACGUUCUAGGUUUUCUUUUAAUGUGCUCCCAAUGUGCAACCAACUUGUGAACCCCAUGUUGAGAUUUUAAGUACAUCAGAUCAUGAAGAAGAACGAUCAAAGAUUUCAAUUGGAUUGACAUAAUCUGUUUAAAAUAUCCACGCAUGCCUACAAGCUGACAUUAGAAGAUGCAGUGCUUCCUAAUUUACUUCAUUAUUGAAAAAAAAUGCAUCUCCUUUUGUGUGCCCUAACUGAAACUUUGAAAGUGAAGUAUAGUGUAGAAAAUAUAAACAUAGAGAGGGAUAAUACCAUAGCUUUGAUGGAAUAGAGAGAAACACAGGAGGGAGAGAGAGGAAUCCUCUGUUCUAGAGGACAGAGGGGAACAGCGGCGGAAAGACUCCUCAAACCCAUUAAGUUUCUUAAAUAAGGACAAACCUUAAAAGUAUUUUCCCUAAAAUACCCUUUAACUUAAUUACCCUUAUACCUUCGGAACUGACAGUUAUGAUACUUGAAUAAUGCUUGUCUGUAUUUUUUACUUUUAUAUUUGAUGAUUUUAAUUACCGUUUGUUGACAGCGCAAAAGGUUUGUUAGUGUGAUACCCUGACUUUAUCAUAUCUCUUCGUGCAGGUUCAUCAGGAUAUGACCGCUCCAUUGUCUCAUUACUUCAUUUAUACCGGUCACAAUUCUUACUUGACAGGGAACCAGCUCAGUAGUGACUGCAGUGAUGUUCCCAUCAAGAAGGCACUUCACAGAGGUGUCAAAGUAAUCGAGCUAGAUAUUUGGCCAAAUUCUACCAAUGAUGAUGUUAAUGUUUGUCACGGAGGGUAUGUGAUAAUCAGAGUUUCUACUGACCCUGAUUGAGAUAUAAUAAGGCGAUUUAUCUAAUUGAUGUCUUCUGUUUAACUUGGAUUCUUUUUCCUAAUUUAAUCAUCAUCUGUGUGAUAUACAUUCUUUAAUAACAUAUUGAAAUUGUUUUAGGAUGCCAUUAAAUGUUAAUAAGGUAUUUAUUUGUCACUUAAUUUUUUAAACUUCAAAUUGUUUCUUGAAUUGAUUCCAACCUUCUUACUAUAUUUGAAUUGCGUUGUUUUUGAUAGAGCUAUGAACACUACGUCAACUUUGGUACAUAUAUUUCGAUUUUCUGUAUAUUUAGUCUGAAAAUCAGUUUAGGAUGGAUUGCAUAGCUAUCAGAAAUGCGGAUAUCAGGUCCUUUUUUAUUUACUUCACAAAAAUUGCUAACUCGUUCCUUUUAUUUGGGUUUUUGAGAGCCGAAAAUUUUAACAUUAUCAAAUGUGCACUGAUUGCUACAUUAUUGUAUGUUGGCUUGAUUUGCAAAGAAUCCCUCGUUUCCUAUUUUUUUAUUUUUAACAGAUUUUCCCCUUUUUCAUGACGUUUCAGCCGGCAAUAUCUUUUUUAAUGAGACUAGUAUUGAUUUAUUUACUACUGUAUCUGUGUUUGACAUUUUUUCAUUAAACAUAUGCAAAACUUCUCUCUUCUCAUUUCAUUUAGUGACUUUUUUUUUUUUUGUAUGUCAUAGGACCUUGACUUCUCCGGUUGAACUCAUCAAAUGUCUCAGGACAAUUAGAGACAAUGCUUUUGUUACUUCUCCAUACCCUGUUAUCAUAACCCUAGAGGAUCAUCUCACUCCAGACCUUCAAGCUAAAGUUGCCAAGGUGAUUUGAUUAUCCUCAUUGAACUUGUGUAUUCAAUUCUAAGUUUGGCAAAUUUUCUUAGAUGAUUUCAUUUUUUUUAUGGUGUAGAUGGUUACUCAGACGUUUGAAGAUGUCCUAUAUUACCCGAAAUCGGAAUUUCUGAAUGAAUUCCCGUCGCCAGAAGCUCUGGAGAAGCGAAUAAUUCUUUCAACAAAGCCCCCCAGAGAGUAUCUGGAGUCUAAGCUUUCAAAGGAUAAAGAUGGAGAGUCCGAGGGAGAUUCAUGGGGGAAGGAGUUUCCAGACCUGAAAUCUGAGCUUGAGUAUGAUGAUAAGGUCUAACUUGAGAUCUGGGUUCUCUGUUCUUUGUUCAGUCUUCUGUGCCUAACUUUCCCAGGUUUAUCUCUCCUACAGGAUGAUGAGCAUGACCAUGAACAUGAUGAAACACAUGUCAACGAUGAAGAUGACAGUGACGACGACGACGACGACGACGACGAUGAUGAUGAUGAUGAUGACAAUGAUAAAAAAUUGCUCCAGAAUUCAUCUCCCGAAUAUAGACAAUUAAUCACCAUCACUGCCGGGAAGCCCAAGGGUGGUCUAAAAGAGGCAUUGAGAGUGGAUCCUAACAAGGUCAGGCGUCUCAGUCUGAGCGAGCAAGAACUUGAGAGGGCCGCAAGAUCCUAUGGCAAAGAGAUAGUAAGGUACUGAAAAUGGCAUGGCUGCGAAUUGCCCUAUUUCUUCCUUAGAUGUUCUUGACUUCAGGCUCUCGCCACUUUUCUAAGCUUGGAAAGUAAAUUCGUCUAAAUUACGAGAAGAUGCGAAAUACACGCUCUAAUUAUGUCUGUGGCCUUAUGAUUUUGCUUAAAAACGUGACUAAUUAUGUCUGUGAUACUGUAAAGCAUUCACGCCUCUCCAAGCCCCCCCUNUCUCUGUAAUCAGCAGUAGAGAGAGAGAGAGAGAGAGAGAGAGAGAGAGAGAGAGAGAUGCUUGGAACCGCUUUAGUUCUUUCAGCGACGGGUCAUUGAUUUUCUAUGAAUCCUUCCUUGGUUUUCAGAUUCACCCAGAAGAAUCUUCUAAGGAUAUAUCCAAAGGGGACUCGCGUCAACUCAUCAAACUACAACCCACUGAUCGGGUGGAUGCACGGAGCUCAGAUGGUUGCAUUCAACAUGCAGGUUUUCUCCGGCCUCUGUCCAAAGCUAGAAAUUUUUUUGACUUUCUCUCUCAUCUACCCCACCCCCAAGCGCAAUUCUACACGAUAAUUGCUGUUUAUACUGCUCACCAUUCUGAUUUCCUACUGUCUCUGUACCUCAGAGUUUUAGAUGGUUCCUAGAUCUCCCUUUAAUGCACAUUCCUUUCAGGCUCAACCCUCUCUCUCUCUCUCUCUCUAACCAACAGAAGAGAGAGAGAGAGAGAGAGAGAGAGAGAGCAGUGAUUUCAGCUGACGUCUCUCUUAUCAGGGAUAUGGCAGGUCUCUCUGGCUGAUGCAGGGCUUUUACAGGGCCAACGGGGGUUGCGGUUUCGUCAAAAAGCCCGACUUCCUGAUGAACGUCGGGCCGGACGGCGAAGUGUUUGACCCUUGUGCGAGGCUGCUGCCGGUCAAGAAGAUCCUGAAGGUGACAAGUGGCCGGCAGCUUCACCGAUACAAAGACUUCCAUUCCACCUCGCCCCCUCAUCCUUAAAGCUCCGUUCUUGGAACAGGUCAAAGUGUACAUGGGCGACGGUUGGCGCCAGGACUUCAAGCCUACGCACUUUGACUCCUACUCUCCACCCGAUUUCUAUGCACGGGUGGGUGCAAAAAAAGUCAACCCAUUCCUCUGUCAACCUGGUUCUUCGCUUUUCUCCAUCUCUCUCCUCUCUUUCUCUCUCUUGGAGGGAAGAGUCUUUAGCUGGCUGACGGGCUGGAUACUGCAGGUGGGGAUAGCUGGAGUGCCGGCCGACAGCCUGAUGAAGAGGACGAGGGCGAUAGAGGACCACUGGGCGCCGGCGUGGGAGCAGGAGUUCACCUUCCCGUUGACCGUCCCGGAGCUCGCCUUGCUGCGGGUCGAGGUCCACGAGUACGACAUGUCGGCCAAGGACGACUUCGGCGGUCAGACCUGCCUGCCGGUGUCCGAGCUGAGGCCCGGGAUAAGGGCCGUCCCUCUCCACGACCGCAAGGGCACCAAGUUCAGGUCCGUGAGGCUUCUCAUGCGCUUCCAGUUCCUCUGACUGAUCGUUGACCAUGCCGCACCAGGGUCAACCCUAUCCUCUUAAUCGCAACAUGACGUUCGUAAUUCACCAAGGUCAGCUUUCCUGUAAAUAAUGCCCCCAAGGAUAAACAGAACUUCAUCAAAAGACUAACUUUAUUCUGCUAUUAGCUCGAUUCUUGCCCCUGUAAAUUAACAAGUUAUUGUCUAAAAUUAGAUCCUUUUACGACGGAGGCAUAGUUGACCAAAGCUUGAACUCUGAAUAGGGAGGGAGGGAGGGAGGUAGGGAGAGGGAGGGAGAGAGAGAGAGAGAGCCCAAAGUGUUUCUGGGCUUAAUGGGAUGGGAAGGACCAUCGCGUCUAUCUUUGGCGGCUGCAUAGUUGCGGCCUGCGGCACCGGGCUUUGCGUCCCUCCAGAGAGAGAUGCCCACGGCAGAAUUCCCUCCGUUGGUGAGGGCGGCUCCCACCGUCGACGCCAUCUUCACCGACUCCGACGCCAGCAGCAGCGGCGGAGAGGAGCCGGAGCCGGCCGAGCGGUUGGCGGCGGCUGAGGACAGCGUGUUCUCCGCCUACCUCCAGGCCUCCGGGAGCUCCUCGGGGCACGACCUCGCCAAGAUUCGCUCCUUCCUGAGCUCCUCCCGUAAGAGCUCGUUCGUCGCGUGCCUCAUCUGCCUCGAGCGGAUCCGGCCUUCUGAUCCCGCCUGGUCGUGCUCAUCUGGAUGCUACGAUCUCUUCCAUCUAAUCUGCAUCCAGUCGUGGGCGCGCCAGUGCUCGUCCCUUCCGCCCUCCUCUUCCCGGCCGUCGCUCCCCUCGUCCACAGAUUGGCACUGCCCCAAGUGUAGGUUGAACUACCCGCAGAACCAGAUCCCGCGGAUCUACUUCUGCUACUGCGGCAAGGUUGAGAACCCGCAGCCCGAUCCGUGGAUCGUCCCGCAUUCAUGCGGUGAGAUCUGCGGGCGCUCCCUCCGAGGAGACUGUGGCCAUCAUUGCCUCCUCCUCUGCCACCCGGGGCCCUGCCCUCCCUGUCCGAAGCUCGUCACCUCCCGGUGCUUCUGCGGAUUCACCAAAGACGUCCGGCGAUGUGCCCUCAAGGAAUUCUCCUGCAACAGACCCUGUGGCAAGCUAUUAGAAUGCAAGACUCACCGCUGCACAGAGAAGUGCCACGAAGGCCCCUGCCCACCAUGCCGGGUGAAGGGGACGUACCGUUGCCUUUGCGGGAGGGAGGAGGCGGAUAGAGAGUGCUGCGAGCGUCUGUUCCAGUGCGAUCAGCCUUGCGGGGGGUUUCUCAUCUGCGGGAAACAUGACUGUUCCCGGGGUUGCCAUGCCGGUCCUUGUGGGGACUGCCCAUUGCAGGGGAAGAGGACAUGCCCAUGUGGAAAAAGGCACUACGAGGGAGUUGCCUGCGACGCCAUGGUGCCUACUUGCGGGUCAACCUGCGAGAAGUUGCUUGCCUGUAACAUCCAUAGGUGCCCAGAAAGAUGCCAUCAGGGGCCGUGCGUGGAGAGUUGCAGGAAUGUUCUUGCGAAGUUUUGCCGAUGUGGGGGAUUGAAAAAGGAGGUGAGCCUCUGACACUUCUUUGCGAUUGUUCUUACUGGAUGGAUCUCUGAAUCAUGUCUCCAUUUUUUCAGUAUAAAUGCUGGAGUUGAUAUAUAGAAAUUAUUUCGCUGAUUAUAUACGUUCCAAAUGGCAUAUUAUCAGCUGAACAGAAGAUUUUUUGUUAUGGAACCAAUCCAGGUGCCCUGCUUUCAAGAUUUGAUUUGUGAAAGAAAAUGCCAAAAGAUGCGAGAUUGCGGGCGUCAUGCAUGCAAGCGCCGCUGCUGUGAUGGAAAUUGUCCACCCUGCCCAGAGGUUCAUACUACAUUCUUUUCCAAUUCUUCUUUCUUCUAUAAUAACUCGAGAUUCAGAUCUGUGGCAGGAAGCUUCGAUGUGAUAAUCAUAAAUGCCCUUCCCCAUGCCACAGGUACGUAGUCCACAUAAAUGGAUCGUUCUUCCUUAAGCAUGGGCGUAAAGUAUAUUAGUUCACUUUUCUGUUGAAUUAUUUUUUGAAGAAGUUCCGUCAUGAAACCUGCAUCAUCUUCCAUCUAUGUCACAUGGAAAGGACAUAUAUAGUUAUCUGCUGAAAUCUGUUCUUGGGUUCUUACUCUAGAAUCUAGAUAAUUGUAUUGCUAGUUACAUUUAUCCUAAAAUAUGUAACGCGAUUACAGUAAGAAAAAAAAAAGAAUCGUGUCAUGUGUCUCUGAUUCGAUCUGGCUAGGAAUCAAAUCUGUAAUGAAACUAGAAGACAUGAUUCUGUGAACACUAGUUAUUUUUUUGGCCUUGAAUUAUUUGGAACGUUGCUUUUCAUCUUCUUUAACUUCUCAGGGUGACGGAGCGGAUCAUAAUUUGUAUUUUAGGGAAGAAAUAGAGACUAAAUAUCCCAGCCUGCAAUGUCAGAUCUAUUUGGACAGUUCCUACAUUCCUCUAAUAUGUAAACCCAUCUCUCUCUCUCUCUCUCUCUCUCUCUCUCUCUCUCUCUCGAUGCUACCACAGACAGUGAUGGAAAGCAAGAAUGGAAAGGAUUUAGGAGAAAGACGGAGUUAUAUAAAUCAUCAAAGAAACGCAAAUUAACUGAAUAAUAGUGUCUUUUUAUUUGACUGAGAAUGCAUCUGUACAACAAACAGGAAUCUAGCAAAUCGCCUUGGGCAGAAGGUUUCUAUCUUUACUGGAUCAAUGAUACACCAUUGUCAAUCUCCUCUAUAUGAUUUAUCACACUUGUCAAUGCAUUUCUCUAGUCUUUUUGAGGAUAGCUACAUAAGUCUGGGCAAGCCAUUCUAGAGAUCCUACCAUUUCUUUCCUUCUACUACUUCUGGCCUAGAAACUGAAAUAGGCCACUAGAGCAGAUAGGCCUUUAGAAGCGGCUAUUAGAUCAUUGAUUGGCAUUACCUUUGUGUGACGGUCGUUAAUUCCAAUGUUGUAUCAACACUACCUGGUUAAUGUCACCCCUGUGACCAAUGAUCAUUGUCACAUUUUUCAAACAUUCCACUUCCAUUGAUUAGGUAGCACCUCUCCUUAUAAGACAUGGUGAGGUUUGAGAACACUCUAUUGUCCUUCUAUAAUGCCGUCCCAUCCGUCACAGUCCAUUUAUCAAUGUUCGUUGUCAAUUUAAUUUCCUAUGGAUGAAGAAAGCACAUUGCAUGUAUACAUCUUCAUGCACAGGCAAAUUUUAUUGCUAUCCUGCAUCAAUAUUUCCUGAUAAGCGAAAUAUUUACUUACUCCUAUUGCGACAAGAAAAUAUGGUCUAAAUGUGGUGGAAAUAAGCUCCAGCUCCCAGAAUUGCUUACAGCAGUACCAUUUAUUGUAGUCCCGUGUUAAACAACACUUUGUUUACCAGUGCUUAACCUUUAUUCUUUUAAUGUAUUCUACACAUAUUAACGGUACUCCGUUUGUGAACGAACUUAAGCUUCAUUCUGAAUGAGUCCUUAUUUGAUUUUGUAAUCAAGAAUUAUGUAUUUUUCAGGGGUAUUUGUGCUCCUUGCCCUUUGAUGGUUUCCAUUUCGUGUGCAUGUGGAGAAACACACUUUGAGGUUUGGUUUUUUGCUGUACUUUUUAUAUUUAUGGAUUUCCACGGUGUCGUUUUGAAUUGGCUGAAGAAAUCUAUUCACAUUUUCUUAAAACGAUUGCUCAGUAAAGGCAUUUCUGUGUGGAUAAUUCAGACCUCAAGCCUCUCUUGCACACCAGUAGGAGUAAUUUUUUUACUGAUGCUUAGGCUUGUUUAAAUCAUCAUUUUUUUGUGUAAGAGGACCCCACCCAUUGACUUGCAAAAUAGUUUCAUAAACACAACUUGUCCCUUGGGUCUUCCUCAUGAAACUAUUUCUUCUAGUUGAUGUUAUAUCAACUUUGGUUGCAUUACGUAACCUUUCAUUUCCUCAAUUGGACAUCUCUUAUCUGCAACUUGCAGUUCACCUCUCUGCCUUGAAAAAGAAAAUAAUAAGAAUGGUGGGAAAAUUUAAGAAUAAUAAGAAAUAUUUGCUUGGAAUUCCUAAGAGUGUUACCAUCACUAAGGCUCUCCUACAUUGAUUUUAAGACUUCAGACACUAAUGACUUCAUCAAGCAUGCCCUGGUAGCAGCCUAGAUUAUAUUUCAACUUUUAUUUUUUCUUUAGUUAUCUUGGUUUCUCAAAGUCAUCUGGUUUGACUAGUUGUUUCAGGCAUCUUCUAUAGCACUUAUAAUAGAAUUAUUGUAUAUUUAGGGAAUGAAACGAUCGUUUUGAUAUCUUGUUUCAAUGGAAUUUUCAGUCGCAUAAUGUACUCAUUUCUAGGUUUUUUUUAUACUCCCGUGCACGCCGUUUUAAAGUUUCUGCAUGAAUGUCAAGCCAGGUUCCUUGUGGAGCAGAAAAAGAACAGAAGCCCCCCAGGUGUCCCAAACCAUGUGAUGCCUCUCGUCUGUGUAGACAUAGUUCUACAUGCAAGGUGCAUUUCCCCCCUCCUCUCCAUAUAUUUUUAUUAAGAAAACUUUCAGUCAUAACCAUAUAGGUAUUGUACGUUCUCUAUUAUUUUCUCAGUCGUGCAUAUUGGUCAUCAACAGAACGUUGUCUGGCAUCAUGAUACUUAACUCUUUUAUUUUGAUUCUUUGUGCUUUCUACGCUUUUAAAAUUUAUGUGCAUCCAUUCCCUGUAAUGUUGUAUGACCUAUGAGAGCAUGCAAAUCCGCCUGAUUCAUGAUCUGACAUCUGGGUUAUUAAUGAUGAUACCUCAUCCUUCCAAUAGAAAGAGAUUGCUGCAACCCAUCUUGGUUGGGAGUCAGUCCCAAUAGCAGCUAAAGUAUGGCCUCCUGAGCAAGACCCUUGAGGAUCUGUGAUCUUCCUCUGCGAAUCUCCUCCUUUGAGUGACACUCAAUUCUCUCUCGCAGGAACAUCCGGCUUCCCGCUGGCUUAUGCGUUGGAGCCUUUUUUUCCUGGAAACAUCCUCGUAGUCUAUCUUUUAUCCUCCUUCCUUUGACUCUGGGGGGGUAGGACAGAUCGUCAGGGCGAUUCAAUUUCGCCACCUGGUCAGGCAUUGAGACAGAUCCAUUCGAGUCAAAGAUGCUUUCUAAUAAAUCCCUUGCCUUCUUGUCCCCUAUUUGACGUGGAUGUUCUAGGUCCAUUCGAGUCCUUUUUCCUAUGAAAUCAUAGAAUGAUGUUGUACUGCACCCUUAGUUUGGCCAAAUGACGACGAUAUUCUUGUCCAGGUCGGGAUGGCUCUAUUCUUAUAUUAAAAAGGACUUGCUAUUUUAUUUUCUCUACCAGAGGAUGGGGAAGCGCUCUUAAAAUCUUUCAAAGGAUUGAAGUGAUGAUUCCUUGUCAAGGCCAUUCCAUUGGACUCACCUAUGCAAGGAUGCGCUUUUAAAACCCUUGUAUUUGCAUGUGUAAACUCUUUGAGCUUUCAACCAUGCGUUCAAUCAGGAAAUGGCCAAGUGAAGUUUUUUCAGUACAUGCAAUCUCUAUGAACCUUUUGGUCGGAGAUGCAAUUUGUGUUGCUUGCUGGUGCUGAAUUAGGGCUCAGUUUUUGUUAAUCAUAACCUGCCUGUGGUUGACUCUGGCACAACAUGGUAGUCUGACUAUGACGGACUAGCUAGGUCAAAGGUCCUCAUAAAGGAUUCAUAUAGAAGACUCAAAGGUGCCAUGUUUGGAAAUGUGAGAGAUGUAUUAGUGGCAACUACAGAUAAAGAUGCCCUUUCCAUUUGCAAGGUAUUACUCCAAAUAAUCCUCCAUUCUUCCUCCACCCCCAAAAAAAAGUCCGCUUGAUUACCAUUAUGCAUCUACUUUUUUAGUGUUGCUCGUUCAAUCCACGAAUUGAAGCCCAAGAACCCCCAAUGUUCAAUACUUAUUCACUUAUAUGGCCUUUUUUUUUCCCUGUUUGAUUGAUCAGUUGUAUGUCUAUGCAUCAAAUAAUCCGCCCCCCUGUUUUGUCAACAGCCACACAGAUGCCACUAUGGAGCAUGCCCACCUUGUCGAAUGAUCUGCGAGGAGAAACUUUCAUGCGGGCAUACAUGUAAACUAAGGUUCGUUUUCAAAGUCAGCUCCUCACCUCAUGUGAGGCAUCCUUUUACUUUAAAUGUCCAUGCACUGCUGUAUCUUGAUCAGGGGGCUCUAUCUGCUUCAAGGUGCCAUGGACCAGUGCCACCUCCCAAGCAGGAUUUUUCAUUAAGACCCAGGAAGAAGAAACAGGGAAGACCAACUCAAGGUACUCCCGGGUCAGCCUGCCCUCCUUGCCAGGAAGUCGUCUUGAGAUCUUGCCUUGGAAAGCACAUUGGGGAAGACAGACCUGUAUGUAUAUCGUCUGCCCCUCCCGAACUAAGCUGCUAGGAUCAGGAAACACUUGAAGAAUUUUUAUUUUUCAAUCCAUUCCUUCUACCUGUAGGAAGUCAAAGCUGAAUAUUAUGUGUUAUUUUCAGAUGCUCUGCUCCAGUCAAGUGAGAUAUUCGUGUCAAAACUUGUGUGGAAAUGCUCUGGACUGUGGAAACCAUUAUUGCACAAAGUCUUGUCAUGCUUUGAAGCCCAGUCUCUCAUCAGCAGCCAUGAACCUGGGUGGAGCACCGCCUGGUGAGGCCCCCCCGGGGCUCACCGAGCCAUGUGAGCAGUGCCGUCUUCCUUGUCAAAAGGUCAGUUUUUUCUCAUUUGACAGCUUACUCAUCCUGUUCUCAUUGAGCUCUCAGGAAAGAACUGGCUUCUCCCAUGUUUUCUGUGGAUUAAUGUUCUUCAAUCUCUGUUUAGGAGCGAAGCCCCGCAUGCCCACAUCCAUGCCCUCGGCCAUGCCACCCCAACGACUGUCCUCCUUGCAAAGUGCUGGUCAAAAGAUCGUGCCAUUGCGGCUCCCUGGUUCAUGUUUUUGAGUGCAUCUACUACAACAGCCUGUCUGCUGACGAACAGCAACGGGUCCGCUCAUGUGGUGGCCCCUGCCACAGGUAAAAUUGACUUUUUUUUUUUAUCUUUUUUUGCACUGCGUCGUCACGAUUUUCUUUUAUUCAUUGGUGUGAAUAAAAUAAAAUUUAUACACUUCAUCGGUGUAUUUUCUCUCGACUUUUUCAUGACUACAUUAUAUAUAUAUAUAUAUAUAUAUAUCGAAAUUAGAAAUAAAUUAGUAUUUCUUUAUCCAUUGAAGUUUGCCUCUACUAAAGUCGCUGGCAAUGAUUUAUGCAGGAAGCUGCCGAACUGCCCCCAUUUGUGCUCAGAAACAUGCCAUCCUGGGACAUGCCCAUCAGUUGACAACUGUCUCAAGAAGGUAGCGUUUCCUUCUAUAAUGGUUCAUUGAUCUUGCUAUUGCAUGAGUUUCUUCCUCGAUGCUCUUUUAUGAUUCCCAUGCGGAAAAAAAAUCCCAAGUCUUGUGGAAAAUCGCCCUAGGAAAACCCCAGAUUAUUCUGUGGCCAUGAAUGGUGCUGAAUGAGGAUGGUUUCUGGUGAAGAAGUACCUGUGGAGUUGACUUUUUUUGUUUGAAGGCACCGUACUUGGGUCGUACUUGAUAAUGACGUCUUAAAUUAUGUUGCCGUCUCCUCUUUAGUGUGAAAAUCCGAAAAUAAAAUGUUUCAUCAUCUUUGACUUUUUUAUUGAAAAAAUUGCGCAGGCAACUGUUCGCUGUUCAUGCGGCAACCUGAGAGCGGAGUGGGUAUGCCGGGCUGUUCAAGAUGCUCUCCGUGGCUCUGGUCAAGACCCGAAAGAUGUUCCAAGAAGUCAAUUCGGCCUGAGGAUUCUUCAAUGCAAUUCAGAGUGUGCGAGCAAGCUCAAGUCUGUCGAGCCCGAGCUGCUGCCCCGGAGAUCUAAAAUGGCCGAGGUAAUAUGCACACACACACACAUAUAUAUAUAUAUAUACACGCACCCUAUUUUGAGGAUAUUUCCAUCUUUGGCAUGAUCAAUUGCGUUCAUUCCUCGUUGACUGCGGUAUCAUUCGUCAACCCAUUUCAAUCUGGUUCAGCGCUGGGUAACAGCCUGAUCAGAUCGACCGUGAGAUGUUUAGAAUGGUUGAAGGUCACUGAUGAGAAACGAAACCCCUGAUUUCCGCAGAGCUCGGCAGCGGGCGAGGAUCACGUGCGAAAGCGCCGAAAACGACCCGAACGGGUCAAAGUAGAGCCCCGGGCUUCAAGAUUGCACGUGGGUUUUACUGGUUUACUUGUUUUAUCUAUUUUCUGAACUGGGCGUGGGCAUCAUUUUGGGAGGACCAUGACAAAGUCAACGCCCUGUGCUUGCAGGUUAUCAAGGGAGCCCUGUGGAAGUGUCUGCUGCUGAUAAUUGUCCUUGCUCUAACCCUCGCGGCCUUGUACUACGGUUACAAGGGCCUGUUCCUCCUCUCCGACUGGAUGGACGAGAUUGACUCCCGGCAUCAGCGGAGGAAGAUGGGCCAUCCAAGGGUCUGACUUUUGAGAACUUCAAAAAUUCCUCCCCACGUACCUCUCCCAUCACUGGGUUCCUUCGUGCUUAUUGGAGCUUUUAGAGAGAGAGAGAGAGAGAGGCUGAUAUGUCACAUUCGAGUACACUCUCAAGAGCCCGUCGACUUCGCCCAGGCCUUCCAAACCCAAGGGUUCUUCCAGGACUAACCCUGGUCAACACGGCUGAGCCGGAUGGCUCCCUCGAGCUCACUGGAGGGAAGAGGAGGAGAAGAAGAAUAGCCGGCCGAUUCCAGCCGCUUGGCUUUGGCCUGGCGGGGCCGGGUGAUAACGACUCGGGGUGGACUCGGAGUUUUGAACGGCAAGGAAGACCGCCGCCGAGAAACCGACAGCUCUCCCACCAGAUAAGCCCCCCCUGCGACCGAUUCCACGCGCUCAGCCCCGUCCCUUUUUUGACCGGCGCCUCCGUCAACUCGUUUCCCCCCGUGGGAGAUGAGCCUCUUUUUCUCUUCCUCGAACCGGGCCCGGUCAACCGCGUCCGCCGAGCGGAACCAGCCACGUCAGAUAACUCGGUCCCGAUGAUUGUGGCACUAGUCUACGCACAUAGGCUUCGUUGACUUCACCCCCACCAUCAUCCCGGUCUUCGCGAUGACUCGGAUGCAUCCGACUUUUUCACCCCAACAAAACGGAACGUGACACUAUUUACCCCUCCUCUCUCUCUCUCUCUCUCUCUCUCUNNNNNNNNNNNNNNNNNNNNNNNNNNNNNNNNNNNNNNNNNNNNNNNNNNNNNNNCGUACGACACUUACCUUACCCUCCUCUCUCUCUCUCUCUCUCUCUCUCUAUGACGGUCGCUGUACGACACGGGUCAUAUGGUUCGAUGGUCGAUGAGUUUUUAGUGAGUAACGGACAGAAGGAGAUGGGAAUCCAUGCCCGCCAGGGACGGUGGAUAUCCAACCACGGGAACGGAGUCCGGUCAACCGGCGGUCAGACGGGAUGGUGGGGCCUAUGAAUUCCUCUCUCCGCGGCCGCUUGGAGACACGCCCCCACGCGUUCGAUGUUUCCAUAGUUACUGAACGCCUCGUCUCUGCUGACCGUGGCUUUCCAUAUAUGUAUCACCGCCCCCGCCUCUCCUCGCUUUCAAUUCCUCCCUCCGCCAUCGUCUUCCCCGCCGCCGCCGCCGCCGCCGCCGCCGCCGCCGCCCAUGUGGGUAACAGUCGCCGUCCUUAUGGUUGGCCUUCCGAUCGCUUCCUUCCCCUUCUCCGCUGCGACCAUCAGAUGACGACCCCCGUCGUCGCCGCAGCCACCGGCCUCCUCUUUCUCCUCCUCCUCUGCCGCCUGCCGGCGGCGCAGGCGCACGGCUCCGCGGCGCCUAUCGCCAUCGUCCACGGCAGCGGCACCGUCUGCGGCAUCCUCGCAGGGCCGUCGGUGAGGGGCAUCCUCUGCGCCAACCAAUCUCGCACUUUCCAGCUGCUCCCCAACGUCUCCUUCGCCUCCGUCUCCGGCGGCCGCGAUUUCCUCUGCGGGCUGCGGUCAGAAGGGCGGACCUUCAUCUGCUGGGCAGUCGCCGGGGGGGACCUCCGCCCGAGACGGCUCUACCGCGGGCCUCCCCCUCUGGAGGGCCUCUCUGUGGGGGAGGACCACAUCGCCGCCUCUGUUGUUGGCGGCGGGGUCCGGUGGUGGAGAGGGGGGGGCCGGUUUCCGCCCUCCGUCGACGGCAAGUUCCGGUCCCUCUCUUCCGGUAAUGGGUUCUCCUGCGCGAUCCGCGCGGACGACAGCAAAGUCAGCUGCUGGGAUAGCAGGGGCGGGAUCGCAGGAGAAGUGCAGAGGGGGUUCGCAAAUGUCAACAUGUCCACCCUCGUCGCCGGCGACUUCCACGCCUGCGGCAUCACCUCAGAAGGUUCCAUUCUCUGCAAGGGGAGGAACGAGACAGGGCAGCUGAACGUCCCUUCCUAUUUUUCGCCCUUCGAGUUUUCAAGUCUCGCUGUGGGAAGAGGCCACAGCUGUGCGAUCAGGCAGCCCCAUGGCACGGUGGUGUGUUGGGACGGCGGCGGUGAUUACCAGCCUGUGAACGAGUCAAUGGAGUGGAUCGUCGCCGGCGGCGACCUAACGUGCGGUGUCACCACCAAGAACUUCUCGGUGAUCUGCUGGGUCGCCACCAACAGAACCAGCCCAUCAUCGGUUUCGCUCAUGCCGCUGCGGAGCGUCCUUCCGGGAAUCUGCACGGAACAGAGUUCUUGCGGCUCCUGCGAAGUAAUUCCGAACUCCCUAAAUCUUUGCGGUGGUUCUAGGGUCAUCUGCCAGUCAUGCCGCAGCGAGUCGCCAUUGCCGCCCGCGUCGCCGCCGCUGCCGCCGGCGGCGGCGGCUCCAAGACGAAGAAGCAGAGAGCUUCUGGCCUUCGCCAUCGUGGGGUCGGUGGGAGCCUUCGCCGGAGCCUGCUCCAUCGCCUACUGCAUAUGGGCCGGAGUUUGCCGCCAGAAGAGAGUUCACAAUUCGGUCCAACCCACCAUCACCGUCGCCGGGAAUUCCCCCAGCGACAAUUCCGCCACGGCGGCGCCGCCGGGGGCCCCGUCGAUCGCCCUCGGGUCGAUCUCCAAGUCGAGGUCGCGGUCACGGCCGAUGUUCUUCCGGCGCCCGGUUCAGGGAGCAAUGAACAGGCAAAGGAGCGGCCCCUCCUCGGCCAGAGACAGAGCCGAGGUGUUCUCCAUCGACGAGCUUGCGGCCGCCACGAAGAACUUCUCCCUGGAGACGAAGAUCGGCGCCGGCAGCUUCGGAACGGUCUACAAGGGCAAGCUCGCCGAUGGCCGCGAGGUGGCGAUCAAGAGAAGCGAGUCUGCGCCAAAGGCCAGGAAGUUUCAGGAGAAGGAGAGCGCCUUCCAGUCCGAGCUGCUCUUCCUCUCCAGGCUCCACCACAAGCACCUGGUGGGCCUCGUCGGGUUCUGCGAGGACGACGACGAGCGCCUCCUGGUCUACGAGUACAUGGAGAACGGCGCCCUCUACGACCACCUCCACUCCCGCAAAGGCCGCACCAGCCCCCCUUCCUCCUCCUCCUCCUCGAGC